This 187-nucleotide unclassified non-coding RNA is filed under the name uncultured Cyphellophora. Its description in RNAcentral is "sequence contains ITS2". Lineage: Eukaryota; Fungi; Ascomycota; Eurotiomycetes; Chaetothyriales; Herpotrichiellaceae. The record is from RNAcentral.
UCACCCCUCAAGCCUGGCUUGCUGUUGGUGGCCGGCGCGAGGCCCCCUCGGGGUGGCCCGCGCCCCGCCCAAAGAUAAUGACGGCGUCCGCGAGGACUCCUGUACACUGAGCUUUCGGGCACGUACACGGUCAGCACUCCGGGCGCCGGUCGCCGUCUGCCGUCAUGGCGGACAACUUUUAUACCAA